GUGAACGCUGGCGGUAGGCCUAACACAUGCAGGUCGAACGGCAGCACAGUAAGAGCUUGCUCUUACGGGUGGCGAGUGGCGGACGGGUGAAGAAUACAUCGGAAUCUACUUUUUCGUGGGGGAUAACGUAGGGAAACUUACGCUAAUACCGCAUACGACCUACGGGUGAAAGCAGGGGAUCUUCGGACCUUGCGCGAUUGAAUGAGCCGAUGUCGGAUUAGCUAGUUGGCGGGGUAAAGGCCCACCAAGGCGACGAUCCGUAGCUGGUCUGAGAGGAUGAUCAGCCACACUGGAACUGAGACACGGUCCAGACUCCUAAGGGAGGGAGCAGUGGGGAAUAUUGGGCAACGGGCGCAAGCCUGAUCCAGCCAUACCGCGUGGGUGAAGAAGGCCUUCGGGUUGUAAAGCCCUUUUGUUGGGAAAGAAAAGCAGCAGGUUAAUACCCCGCUGUUCUGACGGUACCCAAAGAAUAAGCACCGGCUAACUUCGUG
Molecule: ribosomal RNA, 491 nt
Filed under: uncultured bacterium
Lineage: Bacteria
Description: partial 16S ribosomal RNA
Rfam family: Bacterial small subunit ribosomal RNA
Source: RNAcentral